This 451-nucleotide ribosomal RNA is filed under the name uncultured bacterium. Its description in RNAcentral is "partial 16S ribosomal RNA". It matches the Rfam family "Bacterial small subunit ribosomal RNA", at positions 354 to 796 of the family's 1533-position model. The record is from RNAcentral.
GUGGGGAAUCUUCCGCAAUGGACGAAAGUCUGACGGAGCAACGCCGCGUGAGUGAUGAAGGUCUUCGGAUUGUAAAGCUCUGUUAAUCGGGACGAAAGAGCCUAGUGUGAAUAAUGCUAGGAAGUGACGGUACCGGAAUAGAAAGCCACGGCUAACUACGUGCCAGCAGCCGCGGUAAUACGUAGGUGGCAAGCGUUGUCCGGAAUUAUUGGGCGUAAAGCGCGCGCAGGCGGAUCUGCCAGUCUGUCUUAAAAGUUCGGGGCUUAACCCCGGGAUGGGAUGGAAACUACAGAUCUAGAGUAUCGGAGAGGAAAGUGGAAUUCCUAGUGUAGCGGUGAAAUGCGUAGAUAUUAGGAAGAACACCAGUGGCGAAGGCGACUUUCUGGACGAAAACUGACGCUGAGGCGCGAAAGCCAGGGGAGCGAACGGGAUUAGAUACCCCGAGUAGUCC